GGACGCGUAGCUCAGCGGUAGAGCAAACGGCUGAUAACCGUUAGGUCACAAGUUCAAAUCUUGUCGGGUCCA
This 72-nucleotide transfer RNA is filed under the name Thalassospira xiamenensis. RNAcentral describes it as "tRNA_Ile_GAT". It matches the Rfam family "tRNA". Rfam says of the family: Transfer RNA (tRNA) molecules are approximately 80 nucleotides in length. Their secondary structure includes four short double-helical elements and three loops (D, anti-codon, and T loops). Lineage: Bacteria; Pseudomonadati; Pseudomonadota; Alphaproteobacteria; Rhodospirillales; Thalassospiraceae. The record is from RNAcentral.